This 64-nucleotide transfer RNA is filed under the name Phygasia ornata. Its description in RNAcentral is "tRNA-Val". The record is from RNAcentral. Lineage: Eukaryota; Metazoa; Arthropoda; Insecta; Coleoptera; Chrysomelidae.
CAAAUUAAAGCUUAAAGCAUUUUAGUUACAUUAAAAAGAAAAUUGUUGAAUCAAUUUAAUUUGA